RNAcentral lists this ribosomal RNA (216 nucleotides) under uncultured bacterium. RNAcentral describes it as "partial 16S ribosomal RNA". It matches the Rfam family "Bacterial small subunit ribosomal RNA", at positions 523 to 733 of the family's 1533-position model. The record is from RNAcentral.
UGACAGAGGGUGCGAACGUUGCUCGGAAUUACUGGGCGUAAAGCGCAUGUAGGCGGGAUCCAAUAAGUCGGGCGUGAAAUCCCCAGGCUCAACCUGGGAACUGCGCUCGAAACUGUGGGUCUUGAGUGUUGGAGAGGAUGGCGGAAUUCCUGGUGUAGAGGUGAAAUUCGUAGAUAUCAGGGAGGAACACCGGGUGGCGAAGGCGGCCAAUCUGGA